Molecule: long non-coding RNA, 1047 nt
Filed under: Pogona vitticeps (central bearded dragon)
Lineage: Eukaryota; Metazoa; Chordata; Lepidosauria; Squamata; Agamidae
Description: lncRNA (ENSPVIG00000001841.1)
Source: RNAcentral
AUGACAGAAUCCAUCCCUUUUUCUCCCACCCACCCCCCACAUAGGUUCGAGAGGCACACCCAAUCAGCGCCCCCUCCCUCCCUCCUUCCCUCCCUCCCAGGCGCGGCGCCCGCCGGGCUGAGCCCCACUGAGGCGAUUUUCUCCUCACUCACCUACUCGGGGCGUCGAGGUCCGUGCAGGCUCCCCUUCGGGGCGCGGCCACUUCGGCUUCUCCCUCUUCCCUUCCUCAGCCCUGGAGUCGGCGGGGGGGGAGGGGCUGCACGGCAGAGGUGGGGGAGCCUUUCCUGUUACCCUUGCCACAUCCCGACGGCGACGAGGAAGAGGAGGAGGAGGAGCAGCUCGCUCCUGCUUUCCUUCCUCCUUCCUCCUCAAGAGACAGCCAAGCUGGGGGCGAUGCUGACGGGGGACCGUGGAGCUGCUGGGGGCGAUGAUGGCGGCGGCUACUGCCGCUGCCCGCACACCCAGCCCCCCCUUUUUUCCCGCUCGUUGUCUUUCUCCUGCCUUCAGUCCACCGCUCUUUUCCUCACAAAACAAUUCCCCACAGCAGGCGAGAGAGAACGAAGGACGUGCGCGCACGCGCCGCCCUCCCUUUCACGCGCGGCGCUUGUCUUUCUCCUGCCUUCAGUCCACCGCUCUUUUCCUCACAAAACAAUUCCCCACAGCAGGCGAGAGAGAACGAAGGACGUGCGCGCACGCGCCGCCCUCCCUUUCACGCGCGGCGCCGCAAAAGAGUGAACGGAUUCGGCGGGCGGGGAGGGGGCGCGGCGCACCACCGCCUCGCGCUUCUUCUUCUUUAGAUCUGCGCGCGCAGGCCCAGGCGCGCACGCGCCACGCGUUUGCCAGGUCACUCAGCCAGCGCUGGGGAGCGGGGGGGGGCCGUGCGCGCGCGCUCCUCUCCCACGCUAAAAGGGGAGGGACGGGCACUCGUGCCAGCACACAGGUGGUGGGUGGGGUUAGAACCACCUCUGGCGCGCGCGGUGUUUCAACUUCCUUUUCGCACCAGGGGGCGCGCACUCGUGGAAAGAGUUGCCCCCCCCUCCACUUGCA